GAUGAACGCUGGCGGCGUGCUUAACACAUGCAAGUCGAACGAAGCGACUAUGAUUGAGAUUUCGGUUGAUUGAUUAGUUGACUUAGUGGCGGACGGGUGAGUAACGCGUGGGUAACCUGCCUCGUACAGGGGGAUAACAGUUAGAAAUGACUGCUAAUACCGCAUAACCCGCUAGGGUCGCAUGACCCAGACGGAAAAGAUUUAUCGGUACGAGAUGGACCCGCGUCUGAUUAGCUAGUUGGUGAGGUAACGGCCCACCAAGGCGACGAUCAGUAGCCGGCCUGAGAGGGUGAACGGCCACAUUGGGACUGAGACACGGCCCAAAACUCCUACGGGAGGCAGCAGUGGGGAAUAUUGGUCAAUGGGCGAAAGCCUGAACCAGCCAAGUCGCGUGAAGGAUGAAGGUUCUAUGGAUUGUAAACUCUUUUAGCAGGGACGAAGAACGUGACGGUACCUGCAGAAAAAGCAAACGGCUAACUACGUG
This 484-nucleotide ribosomal RNA is filed under the name uncultured bacterium. RNAcentral's name for it is "bacterial SSU rRNA". It matches the Rfam family "Bacterial small subunit ribosomal RNA", at positions 28 to 507 of the family's 1533-position model. The record is from RNAcentral.